RNAcentral lists this ribosomal RNA (503 nucleotides) under Palaemon annandalei. Its description in RNAcentral is "partial 16S ribosomal RNA". It matches the Rfam family "Bacterial large subunit ribosomal RNA", at positions 1931 to 2644 of the family's 2925-position model. The record is from RNAcentral. Lineage: Eukaryota; Metazoa; Arthropoda; Malacostraca; Decapoda; Palaemonidae.
CCGCGGUAAUUUGCCCGUGCGAAGGUAGCAUAAUCAGUAGUCUUUUAAUUGAAGGCUUAAGUGAACGGUUGGAUGAGGGAAAASCUGUCUUUUUUGCAAAUUAGAAUUUGACUUUUAAGUGAAAAGGCUUAAAUUAAAUGGGGGGACGAUAAGACCCUAUAAAACUUGAUAAAAAGUUUAUUUUAACUUUAAAUUAUAUUUAAAAAUUGUGAAGUUUUCUUUUUAUUUUGUUGGGGCGACAUUGAUAUAAAUUGUAACUGUUUUAGCAAAAAGUAUAAUUAUCAUUAUAGUUUGAUCCUUCUUUGGGGAUAAAAAGAAUAAGUUACUUUAGGGAUAACAGCGUGAUUUUUUCUGAGAGUUCUUAUCGAAGAAAGUAGUUGCGACCUCGAUGUUGAAUUAAAAUUUCAAGCAGGUGUAGCCGUUUGCUUUGUAGGUCUGUUCGACCUUUAAAAUUUUUCAUGAUUUGAGUUCAAACCGGUGUGAGCCAGGUUGGUUUCUAUCUA